GAAACCCGGUGAUCUAGCCAUGGGCAGGUUGAAGGUUGGGUAACACUAACUGGAGGACCGAACCGACUAAUGUUGAAAAAUUAGCGGAUGACUUGUGGCUGGGGGUGAAAGGCCAAUCAAACCGGGAGAUAGCUGGUUCUCCCCGAAAGCUAUUUAGGUAGCGCCUCGUGAAUUCAUCUCCGGGGGUAGAGCACUGUUUCGGCAAGGGGGUCAUCCCGACUUACCAACCCGAUGCAAACUGCGAAUACCGGAGAAUGUUAUCACGGGAGACACACGGCGGGUGCUAACGUCCGUCGUGAAGAGGGAAACAACCCAGACCGCCAGCUAAGGUCCCAAAGUCAUGGUUAAGUGGGAAACGAUGUGGGAAGGCCCAGACAGCCAGGAUGUUGGCUUAGAAGCAGCCAUCAUUUAAAGAAAGCGUAAUAGCUCACUGGUCGAGUCGGCCUGCGCGGAAGAUGUAACGGGGCUAAACCAUGCACCGAAGCUGCGGCAGCGACACUAUGUGUUGUUGGGUAGGGGAGCGUUCUGUAAGCCUGUGAAGGUGGCCUGUGAGGGUUGCUGGAGGUAUCAGAAGUGCGAAUGCUGACAUAAGUAACGAUAAAGCGGGUGAAAAGCCCGCUCGCCGGAAGACCAAGGGUUCCUGUCCAACGUUAAUCGGGGCAGGGUGAGUCGACCCCUAAGGCGAGGCCGAAAGGCGUAGUCGAUGGGAAACAGGUUAAUAUUCCUGUACUUGGUGUUACUGCGAAGGGGGGACGGAGAAGGCUAUGUUGGCCGGGCGACGGUUGUCCCGGUUUAAGCGUGUAGGCUGGUUUUCCAGGCAAAUCCGGAAAACCAAGGCUGAGGCGUGAUGACGAGGCACUACGGUGCUGAAGCGACAAAUGCCCUGCUUCCAGGAAAAGCCUCUAAGCAUCAGGUAACAUCAAAUCGUACCCCAAACCGACACAGGUGGUCAGGUAGAGAAUACCAAGGCGCUUGAGAGAACUCGGGUGAAGGAACUAGGCAAAAUGGUGCCGUAACUUCGGGAGAAGGCACGCUGAUAUGUAGGUGAAGCGACUUGCUCGUGGAGCUGAAAUCAGUCGAAGAUACCAGCUGGCUGCAACUGUUUAUUAAAAACACAGCACUGUGCAAACACGAAAGUGGACGUAUACGGUGUGACGCCUGCCCGGUGCCGGAAGGUUAAUUGAUGGGGUUAGCGGUAACGCGAAGCUCUUGAUCGAAGCCCCGGUAAACGGCGGCCGUAACUAUAACGGUCCUAAGGUAGCGAAAUUCCUUGUCGGGUAAGUUCCGACCUGCACGAAUGGCGUAAUGAUGGCCAGGCUGUCUCCACCCGAGACUCAGUGAAAUUGAACUCGCUGUGAAGAUGCAGUGUACCCGCGGCAAGACGGAAAGACCCCGUGAACCUUUACUAUAGCUUGACACUGAACAUUGAGCCUUGAUGUGUAGGAUAGGUGGGAGGCUUUGAAGUGUGGACGCCAGUCUGCAUGGAGCCGACCUUGAAAUACCACCCUUUAAUGUUUGAUGUUCUAACGUUGGCCCCUAAUCGGGGUUGCGGACAGUGUCUGGUGGGUAGUUUGACUGGGGCGGUCUCCUCCUAAAGAGUAACGGAGGAGCACGAAGGUUGGCUAAUCCUGGUCGGACAUCAGGAGGUUAGUGCAAUGGCAUAAGCCAGCUUGACUGCGAGCGUGACGGCGCGAGCAGGUGCGAAAGCAGGUCAUAGUGAUCCGGUGGUUCUGAAUGGAAGGGCCAUCGCUCAACGGAUAAAAGGUACUCCGGGGAUAACAGGCUGAUACCGCCCAAGAGUUCAUAUCGACGGCGGUGUUUGGCACCUCGAUGUCGGCUCAUCACAUCCUGGGGCUGAAGUAGGUCCCAAGGGUAUGGCUGUUCGCCAUUUAAAGUGGUACGCGAGCUGGGUUUAGAACGUCGUGAGACAGUUCGGUCCCUAUCUGCCGUGGGCGCUGGAGAACUGAGGGGGGCUGCUCCUAGUACGAGAGGACCGGAGUGGACGCAUCACUGGUGUUCGGGUUGUCAUGCCAAUGGCACUGCCCGGUAGCUAAAUGCGGAAGAGAUAAGUGCUGAAAGCAUCUAAGCACGAAACUUGCCCCGAGAUGAGUUCUCCCUGAGACUUAGAGUCUCCUGAAGGAACGUUGAAGACGACGACGUUGAUAGGCCGGGUGUGUAAGCGCAGCGAUGCGUUGAGCUAACCGGUACUAAUGAACCGUGAGGCUUAACCUU
Molecule: ribosomal RNA, 2232 nt
Filed under: Escherichia coli
Lineage: Bacteria; Pseudomonadati; Pseudomonadota; Gammaproteobacteria; Enterobacterales; Enterobacteriaceae
Description: partial 23S ribosomal RNA
Rfam family: Bacterial large subunit ribosomal RNA
Source: RNAcentral